This 338-nucleotide unclassified non-coding RNA is filed under the name soil metagenome. Its description in RNAcentral is "partial contains 5.8S ribosomal RNA, internal transcribed spacer 2, and large subunit ribosomal RNA". The stretch from base 1 to 120 matches the Rfam family "5.8S ribosomal RNA", at positions 35 to 154 of the family's 154-position model. The record is from RNAcentral.
GAUGAAGAACGUAGCGAAAUGCGAUAAGUAAUGUGAAUUGCAGAAUUCAGUGAAUCAUCGAAUCUUUGAACGCACAUUGCGCCUGCCAGUAUUCUGGCGGGCAUGCCUGUCUGAGCGUCAUUUCAACCCUCAAGCAACUUCUGCUUGGUGUUGGGGAUCGGCCGUUAAACGCCGCCCCCGAAAUCUAUUGGCGAUCUCGCUGUAGCUUCCUAUGCGUAGUAGUAACAUCUCGCAUCUGGAGAGCGGCGCGGUCAUGCCGUAAAACACCCAACUUCUCAGGUUGACCUCAGAUCAGGUAGGAAUACCCGCUGAACUUAAGCAUAUCAAUAAGCGGAGGA